AACAGUUUGAGGAGACAUUGCUUAAAGCACCAUUCCUGACGUUUUCAUAGGAUCCUGAUGUCGCAGUUGGUGUCCAGGGUACUCAUGUAGAACCCUAAGAUAAGUAUGUUCUUGGGCUAAGGGAAUCAAAGAGGUCCCUCCUCCUCCAUGUGACAGGUCAGUGAGGAAGUGUCCCUCAGCAUUCUCCACCCCUUUCUUGAUUUGAAGGUGCUAAUGUUAGAAAGGAUGACUCUGUUCUGAGAGCGGGAUCUGGGCACGAGCGUGGUCACAUGGAUGCUAAAAGCAAGGGCAUGGAAGGAAUGAAUCUGUAGAUGUUUGUGAUUUUUUGAGGCGCUGCCUCAGACAGUGAGCAGAGGAGUGUUUGCAGAUCUGCAGGAGGCAGAGCUUCAACUCUGGGGACCGGACUGUUGCCUUGUAUUUAUUCCAACAUCCAAGUAAAUUUGCAGCAUCAUUCGCUGGUUUAUGGGGGCACCAAAAUUCUCAUUGACUCUAUGCUGACACUAUGUUAUUUUCUGUGUUUUUUAACAAGUUCCUCUGAAAGAAGUAUAGGGAUGCCAAGAAGGCUGGUGCUGGAACCUCAUGCAAAUGUCAGGUAA
RNAcentral lists this long non-coding RNA (596 nucleotides) under Fukomys damarensis (Damara mole-rat). RNAcentral describes it as "lncRNA (ENSFDAG00000026201.1)". Lineage: Eukaryota; Metazoa; Chordata; Mammalia; Rodentia; Bathyergidae. The record is from RNAcentral.